CGAGUUCCCGUUGAUUGACGUGCUUGCACUGAUUUCAACAUUGGAACGAGUGGCGAACUGGUGAGUAACACGUGGAAAACCUGCCCAGAAGCAGGGGAUAACACUUGGAAACAGGUGCUAAUACCGUAUAACAACAAAAACCGCAUGGUUUUUGUUUGAAAGGUGGCUUCGGCUAUCACUUCUGGAUGGUUCCGCGGCGCAUUAGCUUGUUGGUGGGGUAACGGCUCACCAAGGCGAUGAUGCGUAGCCGACCUGAGAGGGUAAUCGGCCACAUUGGGACUGAGACACGGCCCAGACUCCUACGGGAGGCAGCAGUAGGGAAUCUUCCACAAUGGACGCAAGUCUGAUGGAGCAAUGCCGCGUGAGUGAAGAAGGGUUUCGGCUCGUAAAACUCUGUUGUUGAAGAAGAACGGGUGUCAGAGUAACUGUUGACAUCGUGACGGUAUUCAACCAGAAAGCCACGGCUAACUACGUGCCAGCAGCCGCGGUAAUACGUAGGUGGCAAGCGUUGUCCGGAUUUAUUGGGCGUAAAGCGAGCGCAGGCGGUUUCUUAAGUCUGAUGUGAAAGCCUUCGGCUUAACCGAAGAAGUGCAUCGGAAACUGGGGAACUUGAGUGCAGAAGAGGACAGUGGAACUCCAUGUGUAGCGGUGGAAUGCGUAGAUAUAUGGAAGAACACCAGUGGCGAAAGGCGGCUGUCUAGUCUGCAACUGACGCUGAGGCUCGAAAGCAUGGGUAGCGAACAGGAUUAGAUACCCUGGUAGUCCAUGCCGUAAACGAUGAGUGCUAGUGUUGGAGGGUUUCCGCCCUUCAGUGCGCAGCUAACGCAUUAAGCACUCGCUGGGAGUACGACGCAAGUUGAAACUCAA
Molecule: ribosomal RNA, 867 nt
Filed under: Levilactobacillus namurensis
Lineage: Bacteria; Bacillati; Bacillota; Bacilli; Lactobacillales; Lactobacillaceae
Description: bacterial SSU rRNA
Rfam family: Bacterial small subunit ribosomal RNA
Source: RNAcentral